CGAAGGGCGUAGCGUUGCUCGGAAUCACUGGGCGUAAAGGGCGCGUAGGCGGACUCUUAAGUCGGGGUGGAAAGCCCAGGGCUCAACCCUGGAAUUGCCUUCGAUACUGAGAGUCUUGAGUUCGGAAGAGGUUGGUGGAACUGCGAGUGUAGAGGUGAAAUUCGUAGAUAUUCGCAAGAACACCAGUGGCGAAGGCGGCCAACUGGUCCGAUACUGACGCUGAGGCGCGAAAGCGUGGGGAGCAAACAGGAUU
Molecule: ribosomal RNA, 253 nt
Filed under: uncultured bacterium
Lineage: Bacteria
Description: partial 16S ribosomal RNA
Rfam family: Bacterial small subunit ribosomal RNA
Source: RNAcentral